UCGUAAGUGCAGGGGUGCCCCGUACGGGGCUGAGAUAGGCAUGUGCCUGACCCUUCGAACCUGUUUGGCUAAGACCGACGUAGGGAGCGCAUUCAUGAGCGAU
RNAcentral lists this non-coding RNA (103 nucleotides) under Bifidobacterium subtile. RNAcentral describes it as "TPP sequence". It matches the Rfam family "TPP riboswitch aptamer (THI element)". Rfam says of the family: Vitamin B(1) in its active form thiamin pyrophosphate (TPP) is an essential coenzyme that is synthesised by coupling of pyrimidine and thiazole moieties in bacteria. The previously detected thiamin-regulatory element, thi box was extended, resulting in a new, highly conserved RNA secondary structure, the THI element, which is widely distributed in eubacteria and also occurs in some archaea. Lineage: Bacteria; Bacillati; Actinomycetota; Actinomycetes; Bifidobacteriales; Bifidobacteriaceae. The record is from Rfam by way of RNAcentral.